This 264-nucleotide ribosomal RNA is filed under the name uncultured Planctomycetota bacterium. RNAcentral's name for it is "uncultured planctomycete partial 16S ribosomal RNA". It matches the Rfam family "Bacterial small subunit ribosomal RNA", at positions 565 to 827 of the family's 1533-position model. Lineage: Bacteria; Pseudomonadati; Planctomycetota. The record is from RNAcentral.
GAGCACGUAGGUGGGUUUGUAAGUCAGAUGUGAAAGCCUUCUGUUCAAAGGAAGAACGGCAUCUGAAACUGCAGAUCUUGAGUGUAGGAGGGGAGAGUGGAACCUCUGGUGGAGCGGUGAGAUGCGUAGAUAUCAGGAGGAACGUCGGCGGCGAAAGCGACUCUCUGGCCUAUUACUGACACUGAGUGUGCGAAAGUUAGGGGAGCAAACGGGAUUAGAUACCCCGGUAGUCCUAACUGUAAACGAUGGGCACUAAGUAGAGGG